CCUACGGGUGGCAGCAGUGGGGAAUAUUCCGCAAUGGGCGAAAGCCUGACGCAGCGACGCCGCGUGAGGGAUGAAGGUCUUCGGAUCGUAAACCUCUGUCAGCAGGGAAGAACGGUCACUGUGCUAAUCAGCAGUGAAUUGACGGUACCUGCAAAGGAAGCACCGGCUAACUCCGUGCCAGCAGCCGCGGUAAUACGGAGGGUGCGAGCGUUAAUCGGAAUUACUGGGCGUAAAGCGCUCGUAGGCGGUAUGUCAAGUCAGGGGUGAAAUCCCAGGGCUCAACGUGGGAGCUGCCUUGGAAACUGGAAAACUGGAGUGGGUGAGAGGAGAGUGGAAUUCCAGGUGUAGGAGUGAAAUCCGUAGAGAUAUGGAGGAACAUCAGUGGCGAAGGCGACUAUCUGGCACAUAACUGACGCUGAGGAGCGAAAGCGUGGGUAGCAAACAGGAUUAGAUACCCUUGUAGUC
This 465-nucleotide ribosomal RNA is filed under the name uncultured bacterium. RNAcentral's name for it is "partial 16S ribosomal RNA". It matches the Rfam family "Bacterial small subunit ribosomal RNA", at positions 338 to 795 of the family's 1533-position model. The record is from RNAcentral.